Daphnia magna is the source of this 2812-nucleotide long non-coding RNA. RefSeq lists it as uncharacterized. The transcript is spliced from 2 exons. NCBI's taxonomy places the organism in Eukaryota, Metazoa, Arthropoda, Branchiopoda, Diplostraca, Daphniidae. The record is from RefSeq and is a predicted model, not a curated record.
GACGGAAAAGCUGGGGACGGAGAAGUUAGGGGCGGAGAAGUAGGGGACGGAGAAAUAAGUGGUGGUAAAGAAGAUGAAGAAAAAGAAGAAGGAGAGGAAGAAACUGGACGAGGAAGAGGAGAAAAUUCUGGAGAAGGAGAUGAUGGAGACGGAGAAGGUGAACUGGGAAUGGGUGAAGAAGGAUAGGGGGCAGUUGGCGAAGUUGGAGCCACAGCAUUUUCAUUAGCUCUACUUUAAACAAAAAUAAGUAUUAAUUUUUAAAUCUAAAUAUUAUUAAUUAUCUAUUAUAACUUACCCUAAUUCACGCUCUUUUUUCUUCCUAUAAUAUUGCCUCACGAGUGAAUGGAAAUUACAAUAGGAAGCUGGCAGCCAUUGAUUGUCCGAUUCUGGACAAUUUUGAAAUUUAACAAAAUACCAGACUCGGAACUUACCAUCUUCACACACAAAUUUCUAAUAAAUGUGAAUGACCUUUCUACUUUCUUGGAAAUUAUGUUGUAAUCUAUCUCUCUAGUUGGGAACGGCAAAAACUGUAGUGACAAGCUUGAAAAAACUGACAGUUGACAUGCUGAAAGUCGUGUCAAAAACAAGAGCUGUUCUGCUAUUGAUACGAUGUCCGCUGGGUGGCGCGACAUAACGUGUCAUUUUUUAUAAUUUUUUUUCGUAGAGGCAGAGUUAUAAGAGGAGAUGGUUACGGCAAUCGGUUUUUUUUGGCCAUAAUAUGGCAACCGGUUUUCCCUCAAUAAAAAUUCGUGCAGGAACGUAACAAAAAUAACCCUACCCAUUCGCCAUCUAGCGGUCGACUGCGAACUAGGUUUCCACAAUCUAGUUUGCAAAGUAAACAUGUCUUUUUCAAUUCCUGUUCUUUUGUAAUUAUUUUAGAUUGAACUAAAAAUUGUCUUUUAUAAGCUAGUAUUACAAAAGGUCAUGGACUAAUUUAUGUUACAGGAGCUGGUCGUGACUUAAAAGAGCCAAGGCUUUGUCCGCAAGUGCUUCAAAUAUACCGUAGAGGCACCUGGUGGUGGUUUGGAGCAAUAUAACAAAAUAAUUUCGCGCAAGUUUGUUUAAACAUUUGUAUUGAUGCUUACUUUUGACAAUACAUUUUUUUCCAUGAACAAAAGUUCUUGACAGCUUUUUACUAGUUUUCAUAUGUGUUCUUUCUUUGGCUAGGUAAAAAUUACGAAAGCGUUUUGAUUCCGUAUGAAAUCUUAUGUGGACUGGACAUAUUGCAGUAUUAUAUAUGGUAGUGACUCUUCAUACUUCAUGGAAUGCGAUCUUCCAGAUUUAGCUUGCAAUUCAGCUUUCCCCUUCAUAAUAAAGUUUAUUGGUCCAAUAAUUGACGCCAAUAGUUGACGCUUCUGCUAAAAAGUGUAAGUUGAAAGACUUGGCUUGUUAUUACCGAUUAUUUUGAUAACAGUGACGUCAUGACUCGUAAGUGUGAAAGAAGACAAGACGGAGAAAGAAGCAAACACUAUAAAUUGAUUGAAAUUUAGAAAUCUUGGUUCAAAAAUCUGUUUAUCUUUGGCCCACGUUACAUGUCUAUAGACAAUUUUUUUCAAAAAAAUUGCCCGAAGGACAUUACCGAAGGAAUCUUGUUUUCAUUGUUUUACCAAGAGAUUACCUAGCUAAGAAAUAACCAGCAUGUGAUUUAAACUGUCUCUUACUAUCAUAUUUUGAAUAAUACAUUAUGUGUUAAUUUUUUUAUAUAUCUUUAGUUUGAAAUUUAAAUUUAAAAUUUAAAUGGGCAUGUCCGCAUCAAUGGGUAUGGGCAGUCCGCAGAUACCAGUCCGCAGUUUAUCCUGCCUGGUCCACACUUUCAAACGGUCCAUAUACGAAACGGCCCGCAUUUUAUCCUCAAGUCCACGAAAAAUCUGUCAAAAAUUUUGGGCCAGUCCGCAGGUGAAAGUCCGCAGUCCGCCUCCGCAUUUUAUCCUGGCCCUCAUGGGUAUGAUAUUUACCAGAAACUGUCCAAAUCAAGGUUUCCUCCACUUGCGACCAUCUUUCCAUCUAUCAGAAGCAGCAAAAUGAGAGACCUAUUUGCUAUUUGUCUGCAAAAUCUGUUCGAUAAAACAAAUAAUAUUUGAAAUUUGGUUGGAUCAUUGCACCUAAAACUUACAGUAUAUUUUUGACAUACAGACCUUUUCAAAUUAAAACAAAUUUUUUACCUUCAUUUCAUCCGCCGAAAUGUCUGUAUAUGCAUCUGUAUAUGCUCUAUGUUGUAUCCCCUAUCAUACGUGGACUGCGGACUGCCUUUCAAAAUUUUCGGGCCAGUCCGCAGUUUGUCCAGUCCACGUCCGCAUUUUAUUCUGCCCGAUAUUACCUCCCCGGUUUGACGAGGAAACCAAUAACUUAAGCGAAAUCAGUGUUCAAAUUUUGAUAAUACUGUGUGAUUUUUCCCUCCAAGGCUAUCGGUAACUUCGCAGUUUUGCCAUCAUGCAAUGACAGCCUAUCGUGGCAAUAGAUUCAAGCAUUUCGGGAAACAAGAGGAUAGUUUCUUUAUAUACUUUUUCAAAUUUUUUUAGAGGAUAACGAUCAGGAAACCAGAGAAUAGUAUUUUUAUACAAUCCCUAUCGGGAUUUUUUAAACCAUCAAAACCCCAAUGUAUUAUUAGCUACAAUACGGAUAAUUGUUAUUUAAUUAUCGCAUCUAACAAUUAACUCUCCGAAUAAAAUUGGAUUUGAAGUAAAAUUAUAACCUUCACAUACAUGUUUUACAGACAAGAACAAAGUUCACAACAGCAAUACCAUAGUGCGAUUCAGUGACAUUACAUAACGAUUUAAUGUUGCAUUGAAUAUGCAUUUGCAUGAAUUAACAA